AUGAUGGGAGGUUCUCCACCUGUGACCAUACUAACAGAUCAGAACCGGGCUAUGGAGCUAGCGAUCAAGAACGUUAUGCCAAACACGACCGACCGAUGGUGCAAGUGGCAUAUCCUGAAAAAGGCAAAAGAGACACUCGGUAGUUUGUACACAAAGAAAAGUGAAUUCAGGGCUGAAUUUUAUAAGGUGAUAAAGCACAUGCUGUCGGAAGAUGAGUUUGAAAAAGGUUGGGAGAUGUUGCUGGACAAGUACAAGCUGAGAUCUCAUCCGUACAUGACAAACCUGUUUGAGAUUCGUAAGAAAUGGGCGAAACCUUAUUUUAAGGGCGUUUUCUGUGCGAAGAUGACUAGCACCCAGAGGAGUGAGAGUGCAAACCAUAUGCUAAACGGACCAGAUUUUGCACGAUUUGUCGUAGGCAAGGUCACAAGAACUGUCGUAGGAAGCCAGCUAGAUGCAAGAACUGUGGCGUCGAAGGUCAUCGACGAAACAAUUUUCAUAAAGCAAUGGCAGUAG
Molecule: ribosomal RNA, 513 nt
Filed under: Triticum aestivum (bread wheat)
Lineage: Eukaryota; Viridiplantae; Streptophyta; Magnoliopsida; Poales; Poaceae
Description: partial small subunit ribosomal RNA
Source: RNAcentral